AAACAGGUUAAUAUUCCUGUACCGAUAUGGAAUGCGAUGGGGGACGGAGAAGGGUAGGUCAGCCAACUGUUGGAAUAGUUGGUUCAAGCGUGUAGGCGUGCUCUGUAGGCAAAUCCGCAGAGCUUAGCUGAGGCGUGAUAACGAGGUGCCACGUGCACUGAAGUGAUUGAUCCCAUGCUUCCAGGAAAAGCCUCUAAGCUUCAGUUUCAUAUUGACCGUACUGCAAACCGACACAGGUGGGUAGGGUGAGAAUCCUAAGGCGCUUGAGAGAACUCAGGAGAAGGAACUCGGCAAAUUAACACCGUAACUUCGGGAGAAGGUGUGCCCCUUGUAGGGUGAAGUCCCUUGCGGAUGGAGCUCGAAAGGGUUGCAGUGAAAAGGUGGCUGCGACUGUUUAUUAAAAACACAGCACUCUGCAAACACGAAAGUGGACGUAUAGGGUGUGACGCCUGCCCGGUGCUGGAAGAUUAAAUGAUGGGGUGCAAGCUCUUGACUGAAGUCCCAGUAAAC
RNAcentral lists this ribosomal RNA (510 nucleotides) under uncultured bacterium. RNAcentral describes it as "bacterial LSU rRNA". It matches the Rfam family "Bacterial large subunit ribosomal RNA", at positions 1422 to 1928 of the family's 2925-position model. The record is from RNAcentral.